RNAcentral lists this long non-coding RNA (1309 nucleotides) under Hordeum vulgare. RNAcentral describes it as "long non-coding RNA (HVUL_LNC014335)". The record is from RNAcentral. Lineage: Eukaryota; Viridiplantae; Streptophyta; Magnoliopsida; Poales; Poaceae.
CCCGGCCCGGUAUAUCUGCUAUCACGGGCCUGACGAGGGCCUUGUUGUGGGCUACCUAUAUCGUCCUCGCCUCGCCGUCUUCCUCGAGAAUCGAGCAAGUUCGUCCUCGAGCAAGGUCGCCGCCGUACACAUCGAUCACUGAGCGCCAGCUGACGGGUCGUCCGUGGAGAAUCGGCCGAGCAACAGCCACUGCAAGGUGCUGAUUCACUUCAAUUCUUGAAUUUUUAGUGCUCCUGGGAGAUUUGCCUUAGGGAUCUACUUGUGAUGUUUCAGUGGUUCACCAACCUAUAAGAUAUGUUCUUGCCAGAGACAAUUCGGUAGUAGUACUAGUACAUAAUCUAUUUCAUUUAGGCAUAUAUUGUUAUCGCCAUUUUGAUUCUGUAUGCUAUGGCUAAGGCUAAGGGGAUUGGAUAUUAUCUAUUCAUAACGAGUUAGACUGAAAUUGGCGCAUGAACAUCACUCAUCCACUUGAUUUUAGACCGAAAUGGCGUAUUUGAUUUUUGUGUGCUUUGUUAUAGGUAGGUGCUCUCACUUCUCACCGCUGCUGGAAACUAGUAAUAAUUUACUUACUUUCUUUCAUGGCUUCAUUGCAUUUUGCAGCAGCCAGAAACUUCAUCAGCUGCAGUGGAGGAGAGACCUGAUCCUGCAAUCCCGGGUGAUGAGCAGUUUGGUGAUGGAUGCAAAGGCCCAGACUGAUCACAAGGUGAUAAAGAUCUCCUGCUGUGUGUGGGUGCAUAUGUUGAAAUUGCCGUGAUGUCAAUCUGAAAUGAAAAAUAAAUUUACUAAAUAGAUGAAUUAUGUGUGUUACUGAAAAUUCAACUGUGCCUCUGCUCUUUACUUCAUUUUUGGAGUGGUAGGAACUAUCUAUUAUUAUGGAUCGGAGGGAGUAGUACUUAUCAACAGCACAAACAGCAACUGACGACUGUAAUCAACGGGGCACUUUUAAGUUUUUCAGAAAACUAAAAAGAAAGAAAUACAAUAAAGAACACCAACAAGGAUGAUAGAGAAGCUCAUAUUAUUGUUCCAUGCUCACAAAAACAGAGUUAUUGUUCCAAUACAAAUGGGCAGCAUAGAUAUUACAUUACAUUCGAGGCAUAGAAAUCAAUAGCAGAUUAUAGAUAGAUAGAGUAACUCAUAUGGUGUUCCUUGCUCACAAAAAAACAGUCAUUAUUCCAAUAGAACUGGGUAGCAUAGAUACUGCAUUACAUCCGAGGCAUAUCAAUCAACAUAUAGGUGGUCAUCACGAGUUGAAGCUUUUCUCCUUAUGCUUCUGAAAUAGCUCGAUGUGAUCGAUGACGAGGCGGAUAAC